AAACCGGGUUUUUUUCUAUUACCUUUGCGCGACGAAAGUAAUUUAGGUUGCGCAUAGAUUGUUUGCACGACGACUAUUUUUGUCGCGCUAGUUUUCUGUUGUUUGCGCGACGGAAAUUUGUUUUCGUCGCAAUAGUGUUGUUUGCGCGACGAAAACAUCUUCGUCGCGCAAAUAGUAAAUCGUACUAGUGUAAGCGUAUAAGGAAAAAAUGUACAGAAAAAAUUUAAAGAAAUCCACACACGCAUAAGAAAAUACAGGAGGAAGAUAACUCCAAAAACCUAACCAUUCGCAAAGCCAAAAAAGGAAAAAACAGAAAAGACUUGGCCUGCCCAUUGUUUUCUUGGACGGAAUUGGUAGCCCAUUGUUUCUCGAAAACCGUUCUAAAACCCUCUUUCCUACAUAUAAAUUUAAACCUUUGAGUUUGUUUCAGAAUAAACAAAAACUCUUCCCCCCUUGCUUGCGAGUAACUUGGUAAUUAGGAUGUGUAGGGUAGCUUCAGAAACCCUAGUGUUUGUA
Molecule: long non-coding RNA, 516 nt
Filed under: Prunus persica (peach)
Lineage: Eukaryota; Viridiplantae; Streptophyta; Magnoliopsida; Rosales; Rosaceae
Description: long non-coding RNA (PPER_LNC003670)
Source: RNAcentral